AUACUUACCUGGCGUAGGGGAUACCGUGAUCAUGUAGGCGGUUCCCCCAGGGCGAGACCAUGCCAUAGCACUGCCGGUGAGGUUGACCCCUGUGAUUACCCCUAAUGUGGGUAACUCGGACGCGUAAUUUUUGGUAGUGGAGACUGCGUUCGCGCUGUCUCCUA
Molecule: non-coding RNA, 164 nt
Organism: Bombyx mori (domestic silkworm)
Lineage: Eukaryota; Metazoa; Arthropoda; Insecta; Lepidoptera; Bombycidae
Source: Rfam